GAGCACAUGUGCCUCGGGAGGGUUAAAGGCAAGUUAGCGAGCACUUGAUGUGACAACCAAUGGGGAGCAGGAGUUUCUGAGAGCAGGAUUCAGGGUUGAUUUCCUAGAAGGGGUUAUGGUGCUAACAGAGGGCAGGAAUGGUCUCGUGCGGGAGUGGGAAGGCCCCACACGGGGGACUCUGUGCCUAGCUACUGGCAGGACGUCCCCUGCACCUCUCCAAGCGAGGGCUGAAGAGAAAGAACCUGGAGCAGAGGUCUGGAGGAAGCCAUUGUCUGCCUGGGCGGAGGAAAAGGAGGCAGGGAGAGAGCCAGGGCUGGAGUGAUGGGCAGGGCCAGGCUAAGUAUGAGUUUGGGGCAAGGCCUUUGUCCCCUCAGGCCUCCAAGUCCCUGUCUUAAUGUGGGUGGUUGGAGCAAAUGCUCUGGGGUGAGGCAGCCCGCCAGACCUCCCUGCCUGCAUCCCCUUUGUCUUGGUCUCUAACUUGCCUCUGCAGGCUUUCUUCUAGGCCCGGCAGAGUCCAUCUCCUGGGCCAGACCCACUUCGGCUGUCCUUCUGUGUCUGCCACCCUCCCCCACCCCAGACACCUGGAGCCCAUCAGAGUGCCUGGCACCACAGCAGCUGCAUGUGCCCAUAGAGGGGA
RNAcentral lists this long non-coding RNA (637 nucleotides) under Homo sapiens (human). Its description in RNAcentral is "HSALNT0003490". The record is from RNAcentral. Lineage: Eukaryota; Metazoa; Chordata; Mammalia; Primates; Hominidae.